RNAcentral lists this ribosomal RNA (471 nucleotides) under uncultured bacterium. Its description in RNAcentral is "partial 16S ribosomal RNA". It matches the Rfam family "Bacterial small subunit ribosomal RNA", at positions 28 to 506 of the family's 1533-position model. The record is from RNAcentral.
GACGAACGCUGGCGGCGUGCUUAACACAUGCAAGUCGAACGCUGAGGCCUGGUGCUUGCACGGGGCGGAUGAGGGGAGAAGGGGUGAGUAAUACGUGAAUAACCUGCCCUAGACUCUGGGAUAAUCCUGGGAAACUGGGUCUAAUACGGGAUAUGACAUGGCACUGCGGGGUGGUGUGUGGAGAGGGUUUUGCUGGUUUUGGAUGGGCUCACGGCCUAUCGGCUGGUUGGGGGGGGAUUGGCCAACAAAGGGGUGGGCGGGUAGCCGGCCUGGGUGGGUGGCCGGCCACACGGGAACUGGGUCACGGCCCAGACUCUUCCGGGGGGCAGCAGUGGGGAAUAUGGCACAAUGGGCGGAGGCCUGAUGCGGCGACGCGGCGUGGGGGAUGACGGCCUUCGGGUUGUAACCCUCUUUCAGCACGGAAGAGGCGGGAGUGACGGUACGUGCAGAAGAGGCCCCGGCUACCUACGG